Molecule: long non-coding RNA, 3728 nt
Organism: Dreissena polymorpha
Lineage: Eukaryota; Metazoa; Mollusca; Bivalvia; Myida; Dreissenidae
Exons: 6
Source: RefSeq, a predicted model, not a curated record
ACUACGUAAAUCGAAUCGAAAACAGAGCUUAAUGUAGAUCUAUCAGUUUUUGUAGAUCAAAUGGUGUGUAAAUACAGACAACCACUGAGAGAUUUAAACUGAAAACGGCGAUUACCGUAGGCCAUUUUCAGAAAAUCGGUUAUCUUAUUAUUAUCAGCACAUAAUUUAAAACGACUGUACACAGUCCUUCAUAUUUGACUACCGAUAUGUGUUAUGCAUUAUGUGUUUUUACUGUGUCGUGAACAGAAACUAGCAGAAUAUUUAGGGGCGUGACAUUUGGGUUUGAGUAAAGAAGGAAGUUAAAACAUUUGUAUUAAUUGUGUUUCAUUUGGUGGAGUUAAAUAUAAAUUGAAUUCAUGAACAUCUAGUCAGUUGUUGUUUAUUUAUAAAAUGGCUACCGCUGUCUGUUCAGCUAAUAAAAGUUCAGAUUUAGUAAAGGACUAUAUGUGUAGUGCUUGCAAAGAAAAACAGUUUGAAGAAAGUGCAGAAAACUACUGUAAGCAAUGUCUUAAGCUAUUUUGUGGCAAAUGUAUUAACCUUCAUGAUCAGGUAUACGAAAAACAUUUCACGCUCGGGAGGGGAGACAUUAACCAAUGGCCCCUCAAUAAAAAACGGAGGAUUUUCUACAUGAAUGUGAGGUCCACGUAGGAAUGAAACUGGACAUGUUCUGCGAAGACCACAGUCGACUGUGCUGCACUAAUUGUGAUUUCCUAAAUCACAGUGCAGAACCUCCAAGAAGCGGAUCAAAGGGUGCAGCAAAGCAUAAUGCCAAAUCUAAAGCAUCAAUAUUAAAGCAAAGAGUUGAUCCUGAUAUUAAAAGUAAAACCAAUGGAAACAAUAGUACAAAAAGUGAUAAGUCUGAGAGUCACGCUGGUUCAAUGGCUACUAAAGAUGUGGUUAGUAUUGCUGACGGAGGUCAAAAGGGCAAGGAUACAAUUGAGAAGAGUGAAGAACCUCCAAGAAGCGGAUCAAAGGGUGCAACGAAGCAUGAUGCCAAAUAUGAAGCAUCGAUAUUAGGGCAUAGAGUUGGUCCUAAUAUUAAAAGUAAACCAAAUGGAAACAAUAGUGCAAAAAAUGAUAAGUUUGAGAGUCAAGCUGAGUCAAUGGAUACUAAAGUUGUGGCUAGUAUUGCUGAUGGAUGUACAAAUGAUGAAGAUACAAUUGAGAAGAGGUAAACGUCAAUGGAAACAUCCCUACACAGAUUACAAAUAAUUGUUUAUGUAAUUGGAGCAAUAGUGACAGUUUUAAUAAUAUUUUGUUUAAUUAUCUUGAAAAUGUUUUUUUGGGAUGGAACACCUUCAACAACACCUAACCUUGACUUAGACGAAAUAAAAACACAGUUACAAGAAUUGCAAAGUAAUAUGAGAAAUGAAAUGAUUGAGCUUAAACAAGGUUUCAGAUCAAGUUUAAGUACAACAAAAAAAGAGCUGAUGAACGAAAUACCUGGCAAUGAAAAAACUAAACAAACUUUUUUCGAACUUGUGAAAGAUGAAAUUGAAAAUACUCAAAGGAUAGAAACAAUGGAAAACGAAAUUAAAAGUAAUAAAGAAACAUUUGCAACAAUUGACACAACUAUUAUGAAACUUAAAGAGAAUAAUGAAAAUAAGCAACAACAACUUGAAAAAAGUAUUACAGAUAAUAUGGAAAGUAUAAGGCAAACUAUAGAAACAACUGCUAAUGAUUUUGGUAAGAAAAAUGAUACCACAAAAGGAAUUGUUAAUAUUUUGGAAAUAAAACAUACUACCACAGAAAAGAAAGUUAAAGAUUUUGAAAUGAAAUUUUCUACCCAAGAACAGCUGCUGGAUAACAUGCCUUCUUUUAUUGAAGAUGCUAAGCAGCAAGUAGAACAACUCAAUAUUGCCAUGGACAAGUCAAAAGAAGUUUUAAAGAAGUACGGCGAUACACAAAAAAUAAUUCAGCAAAACACUUUUGACAAAGGCAUGUUAGUAUAGAAGAACCAGGAAUUGCACUGGUGGGCAUGAAAAGGACAACUUACAAUGCAGUGAAUAAAAAGGGAGGUGCAUUAGUGAUAUUGUAAGUGAACCACCGUCGAACCAUUCGCAGUCAAGAUCUUUACAGUAAUGAGAUACAGUGUGUAAACAGGCAGCCCGAGUUACAGGUACUUGAGAUGCGUAACAGGUGUAUUAGUACCUAUGACCAGCUGAAUGACCGUCAGAAGAAUGCUUUGAAGCAAGCUGUCAAAGAGGCACUCAAGAAAAGUUUCUAGUGGCAUUGCCAUAUGACACAAAUUAUGCACAAAGGGUAAACAUAAAUGAUGCAUGCUAAGUUUCUGUGAGAAAGAAAUGUAUAUUUUGUUAUAAAAAUGGUAGAGAUUUAUUUACAUUUUUCGAAUCAAGUGCUAUUUAUGUAUUAAGAUUCAAGUUGAAAAUUUAAGGUUAACCAAAAAUUAAUCAACGCUUAUUUUAAAUAAAUAUGCAAGCGUAUAUAUUGAGGUGAUAUAUUUCUUUAAGUUAUUUAAGCAUACAUUUCAUUGAGUGUUAGGGAUUAAGUGCAAAAAGGAUUGUUGUAAAACGGAGCUUUAUUGUCAAUAAACUAAAUGGAAUUGAAAUAAUAAACAGAAGGCAAAAGUCAAGUCUGUACUUCAAGGACUUUAUACUGGUAAAGCAUCCAACCUAGAAAAAGUGUGAGUUGGUUUGCCUACCGCCGUAAUGUGACUGAAAUACUGUUGAAAAUGGCAAAACAACACCAACAAAACCGAAACAAACGAAAUACCUUAUGUAACUUUGCUUAAAUGUUUAAUGUUUAAGUAAUUGAAGCCUAUGUGCAGAAGGCACAAGUCAGUCAUGCCCAUUGAAGGAUUUCCAUACAGUUUGGAAACAAUGUUAAGGUUAUUGUCUGAUGCAAUGUACAGAAGGCGUGAUUCAGUUAAUCUUGAUUAAGGUCAAAGUCACAUUUGAAGGUCAAAUGUUUUUGAUCCUUUUUUCCCCACCAUUUCCCCAGGCCUAACCCUAAUUCAAAGGAAAUGAACUCUGGCCAAAAUGUUUAGGCUAUCAAGAUCUUGGUUCAAGGUAAAAAAAUUUUGCCUCGUGUUUCAUGUUUGCUCCAUUUAUCAUGUACCCUUUGUCGUUUUUUCACUAAACUUGUCACCAAUGUUGGGUCAAUUAUUCGAUGUGUAGGAGCAAUUUAUGAAUACAGCUGGCUAAAGGUCACAUUUGGUCAAACGUAAAGCCUUCAUUGCCUUGUAAAUGCUUUUGCUUCAUAUUGCCUAUCAAAAAUAGCAUAUAGCUGUCCUUGGUACUGCCAUGUACGUUUUAAAUAAAAUUUAAUUUUUCUCACUACUUGGGUGUUCAAAUUUGGAAAGAAUUUACAUUCUGCUGUUAAACUUAAUUUACAAUAAAUUGUAUAAAUGCAAUUUUUCAUUCAACAAACAAUGUAUACAUGCAGAGAAAAGAUGAGGAAAUAGAAGUCAUGGUUGACAUUAAUAUAAUCAUUAAUUAACGUCUGGCCUGAAUGAAAAUUAGGAGGUGUUUCAAGAAUGUGAAAAUGCUGGCAUUACAUAGAUAUUGAAAUCUCACUACUAUUGGAGCAAUAUGAACAGGAUUGCAUUGAUCCAGAAUAAUCUAUAUACUUUGAUUUCUUAAUUAACAUUACUAUGCAGAUCUAAAUGGUUGUUUUAUUAUGCAUGCUUGAUAAGAUAAUUUUGUGAUAUAUAAAUUAGAUAAGUUGUCACUGAUUUAUAUUUGAAAAUAAACAACUUUCUCAUGGAA